GAGCUUGCUCUUCUCUUAGUGGCGAACGGGUGAGUAAUACAUAAGCAAUCUGCCCAUGGGACUGGGAUAACUAUUGGAAACGAUAGCUAAUACCGGAUAGGUGAGCUGGGGACAUCCCCUACUCAUUAAAGUUGGGUUAAACCAACACCUGUGGAUGAGCUUAUGGCGCAUUAGCUAGUUGGUGAGGUAACGGCCCACCAAGGCGAUGAUGCGUAGCCGACCUGAGAGGGUGACCGGCCACACUGGGACUGAGACACGGCCCAGACUCCUACGGGAGGCAGCAGUAGGGAAUUUUCGGCAAUGGGCGAAAGCCUGACCGAGCAACGCCGCGUGAGUGAUGAAGGUCUUCGGAUUGUAAAGCUCUGUUGUCAGGGAAGAACGACCAGACGAGGAAAUGCGUUUGGAGUGACGGUACCUGACCAGAAAGCCACGGCUAACUACGUGCCAGCAGCCGCGGUAAUACGUAGGUGGCAAGCGUUAUCCGGAAUUAUUGGGCGUAAAGGGUGCGUAGGCGGUUUGAUAAGUCUAAGGUGAAAGUUCGGAGCUUAACUCCGGAUUGCCUUAGAAACUGUCAGACUAGAGUGCAGGAGAGGGCAAUGGAAUUCCAUGUGUAGCGGUAAAAUGCGUAGAUAUAUGGAGGAACACCAGUGGCGAAGGCGGUUGCCUGGCCUGUAACUGACGCUGAAGCACGAAAGCGUGGGGAGCAAAUAGGAUUAGAUACCCUAGUAGUCCACGCUGUAAACGAUGAUUACUAAGUGUUGGGGAAACUCAGUGCUGCAGUUAACGCAAUAAGUAAUCCG
This 800-nucleotide ribosomal RNA is filed under the name uncultured bacterium. RNAcentral's name for it is "bacterial SSU rRNA". It matches the Rfam family "Bacterial small subunit ribosomal RNA", at positions 76 to 871 of the family's 1533-position model. The record is from RNAcentral.